AGUCGGACGAUCGGGUUUUUGUAGCAAUACGAGGACUCUGAGUGGCGAAUGGGUGAGUAACGCGUUGAUGACCUGCCCCGAAGUGGGGAAUAACUCCGGGAAACUGGAGCUAAUACCGCAUGUGGUCAUACGAAUUAGAACAGUAUGACUAAAGGACUUCGGUUCGCUUCGGGAGGGGCCUGCGUUCCAUCAGCUAGUUGGUAGGGUAAUGGCCUACCAAGGCGACGACGGAUAGGGGGCCUGAGAGGGUGGCCCCCCACACUGGCACUGAAACACGGGCCAGACACCUACGGGUGGCAGCAGUAGGGAAUAUUGCACAAUGGGCGAAAGCCUGAUGCAGCAACGCCGCGUGCGCGAUGAAGGCCUUCGGGUUGUAAAGCGUUUUUCUGAAGGAAGAGGAAGGACGGUACUUCAGGAAUAAGGAUCGGCUAACUACGUGCCAGCAGCCGCGGUAAUACGUAGGAUCCUAGCGUUAUCCGAAUUUACUGGGCGUAAAGCGCGUGCAGGCGGUUUGGUAAGUUGGAUGUGAAAGCUCCUGGCUCAACUGGGAGAGGCCGUUCAAAACUACCAGACUAGAGGACGGUAGAGGGAGGUGGAAUUCCCGGUGUAGUAGUGAAAUGCGUAGAUAUCGGGAGGAACACCAGUGGCGAAAGCGGCCUCCUGGACCGUUC
Molecule: ribosomal RNA, 671 nt
Filed under: uncultured bacterium
Lineage: Bacteria
Description: bacterial SSU rRNA
Rfam family: Bacterial small subunit ribosomal RNA
Source: RNAcentral